Molecule: ribosomal RNA, 490 nt
Filed under: uncultured bacterium
Lineage: Bacteria
Description: partial 16S ribosomal RNA
Rfam family: Bacterial small subunit ribosomal RNA
Source: RNAcentral
AUUGAACGCUGGCGGCAGGCCUAACACAUGCAAGUCGAACGGUAACAGGAAACAGCUUGCUGUUUCGCUGACGAGUGGCGGACGGGUGAGUAAUGUCUGGGAAACUGCCUGAUGGAGGGGGAUAACUACUGGAAACGGUAGCUAAUACCGCAUAACGUCGCAAGACCAAAGAGGGGGACCCUCGGGCCUCUUGCCAUCGGAUGUGCCCAGAUGGGAUUAGCUUGUUGGUGGGGUAACGGCUCACCAAGGCGACGAUCCCUAGCUGGUCUGAGAGGAUGACCAGCCACACUGGAACUGAGACACGGUCCAGACUCCUACGGGAGGCAGCAGUGGGGAAUAUUGCACAAUGGGCGCAAGCCUGAUGCAGCCAUGCCGCGUGUAUGAAGAAGGCCUUCGGGUUGUAAAGUACUUUCAGCGGGGAGGAAGGGAGUAAAGUUAAUACCUUUGCUCAUUGAUGUUACCCGCAGAAGAAGCACCGGCUAACUCCGUG